AUCUUUAAAGAUUUAAUUUAAAGUGUAACCUGCUCAAUGAAUAUUUAAAUGGCUGCGAUUUAAAUCGUGCUAAGGUAGCAUAAUAAUUUGUCUUUUAAUUAAGGUCUGGAAUGAAUGGUUUAACGGGGGCUAUCUUUUUUAAUUUAUUAUAUUAGAAUUUUAUUUUUUAGUUAAAAAGCUAAAAUUUAGUUAUAAGACGAUAAGACCCUAUAGAAUUUUAUAUUUAAAUAUUAAAUAUUAUAUUGAAAAAUAUUAAAUAUUUAUGUAUUUGGUUGGGGUGAUUGUUAUAAAUGAUUAACUAUAAUUUAUAUAAUUCAUUAAUUAAUGAAUUAAUGAUCUUGAAUUUUGGAUUAUAAGAAAAAAUUACCUUAGGGAUAACAGCGUAAUUUUCUUGGGGAGUUCUUAUUUAUAAGGAAGUUUGCGA
This 424-nucleotide ribosomal RNA is filed under the name Acalypta suturalis. RNAcentral describes it as "partial 16S ribosomal RNA". The record is from RNAcentral. Lineage: Eukaryota; Metazoa; Arthropoda; Insecta; Hemiptera; Tingidae.